UACGUAGGGGGCUAGCGUUGUCCGGAUUUAUUGGGCGGAAAGAGCGUGUAGGCGGCCAUGUAGGUCCGGUGGGAAAACUCGAGGCUUAACCUCGAGAUGUCAUCGGAAACCAUUUGGCUAGAGUCCGGAAGAGGAGAGUGGAAUUCCUGGUGUAGCGGUGAAAUGCGCAGAUAUCAGGAAGAACACCAAUGGCGAAAGCAGCUCUCUGGGACGGUACUGACGCUGAGACGCGAAAGCGUGGGGAGCGAACAGG
RNAcentral lists this ribosomal RNA (253 nucleotides) under uncultured bacterium. RNAcentral describes it as "partial 16S ribosomal RNA". It matches the Rfam family "Bacterial small subunit ribosomal RNA", at positions 524 to 776 of the family's 1533-position model. The record is from RNAcentral.